Molecule: ribosomal RNA, 910 nt
Filed under: uncultured bacterium
Lineage: Bacteria
Description: bacterial SSU rRNA
Rfam family: Bacterial small subunit ribosomal RNA
Source: RNAcentral
AGAGUUUGAUCAUGGCUCAGAUUGAACGCUGGCGGCAUGCCUUACACAUGCAAGUCGAACGGCAGCACGGGGGCAACCCUGGUGGCGAGUGGCGAACGGGUGAGUAAUACAUCGGAACGUGCCCAGUAGUGGGGGAUAGCCCGGCGAAAGCCGGAUUAAUACCGCAUACGACCUACGGGUGAAAGCGGGGGACCGCAAGGCCUCGCGCUAUUGGAGCGGCCGAUGUCAGAUUAGGUUGUUGGUGGGGUAAAAGCCUACCAAGCCGACGAUCUGUAGCUGGCCUGAGAGGACGACCAGCCACACUGGGACUGAGACACGGCCCAGACUCCUACGGGAGGCAGCAGUGGGGAAUUUUGGACAAUGGGGGCAACCCUGAUCCAGCCAUGCCGCGUGCGGGAAGAAGGCCUUCGGGUUGUAAACCGCUUUUGUCAGGGAAGAAAUCCCUUGGGCUAAUACCCCGAGGGGAUGACGGUACCUGAAGAAUAAGCACCGGCUAACUACGUGCCAGCAGCCGCGGUAAUACGUAGGGUGCAAGCGUUAAUCGGAAUUACUGGGCGUAAAGCGUGCGCAGGCGGUUGUGCAAGACAGAUGUGAAAUCCCCGGGCUCAACCUGGGAACCGCAUUUGUGACUGCACAGCUUGAGUGCGGCAGAGGGGGAUGGAAUUCCGCGUGUAGCAGUGAAAUGCGUAGAUAUGCGGAGGAACACCGAUGGCGAAGGCAAUCCCCUGGGCCUGCACUGACGCUCAUGCACGAAAGCGUGUGGAGCAAACAGGAUUAGAUACCCUGGUAGUCCACGCCCUAAACGAUGUCAACUGGUUGUUGGGAAGGUUCCUUCUCAGUAACGUAGCUAACGCGUGAAGUUGACCGCCUGGGGAGUACGGCCGCAAGGUGAACUCAAAGGAAUUGACGG